CUUGCUUUUAGAAACUUUAAGGUUAGGUCAGGUCUUGUAAGUUCAAGGUAUUCUAAAUGUCAGUUCUUGGACCAACCAAUAAUCUUGGCAUGAUGUGUCUUAAAUCCUAUAAAAGCGAAGGAUGUUGCCAGUUACAACAAAUCGUAUCCUCACCAUAAGAUAAUCAGGUGUAAAUUGUUAAAACAGUUGUUGAACUUGAUGGGGCAAAAAAGAACCCUUGAAAUUGAGACGUGAAGCCCUGACUUUAUUGUGCAACUUGAUAUGUUGCUCUCCUAAUUCGUGGUGACUUCUGCCUUUCAGGGAAGGGGCUCUACUGGAAACAAUUUUAGAUUUGUUUGGAGGAGACUGGUUGCAUUGAUUGCAUUGUUUUAAGUGGUGAUUCUUUUUCUUCCUUGGUUAGACCAGUUCUUGGAAUCAUAUCCUUUCUUAGGUGACUAGGCCUGCUGCACAAUAAUAGGCUAACUAAAGUCAGAAGAAGGUCAGCAAAGAUGGCUGGGUGAGCUUGGAGCCCUUUGCUUAGAAGGGCAGAGAUAAGAAACGUUGAUUGUGGUUGACAGAAUCUCCUGUUCUAAAUUGUAAGACGGUUUUACCUGGUGGUUGUAAAAGAGUCUGCUAUGAAACUCUAAACCUUUAAACUGUAAGGGUCAAGGGAUUGUGUUCCAUUUUAUAUAAGAAUCAAGUAAUCAACUCAUCCUGAAUGCUUCUCAUUGUAGGCAUUCAACAUAUACUUGUUAAAUGAUUGGAGAUGGUGAUUUUUUAUGCUGGGAGGAUAACUCCUAAUUUUUUGCUAUAUUCAAAAUUAGACACUGUUCUUACUAGUACUGUGUAACCACUGCAGAUGUUCUAACCCUGUUUUUACUUUAGACCAGC
Molecule: long non-coding RNA, 870 nt
Filed under: Bos taurus (domestic cattle)
Lineage: Eukaryota; Metazoa; Chordata; Mammalia; Artiodactyla; Bovidae
Description: long non-coding RNA NONBTAT022645
Source: RNAcentral